UCGAGAAUCUUCGGCAAUGGGCGCAAGCCUGACCGAGCGACGCCGCGUGGAGGACGAAGGCCUUCGGGUUGUAAACUCCUGUCGAGGGGGAAGAAGCCGCAAGGUUGACUGAACCCUGGAGGAAGCACGGGCUAAGUUCGUGCCAGCAGCCGCGGUAAGACGAACCGUGCGAACGUUAUUCGGAAUCACUGGGCUUAAAGCGCGUGUAGGCGGGAGGGCACGUCCGUCGCUGAAAUCCCACGGCUCAACCGUGGAACGGGCGCGGAUACGACUCUUCUGGAGGAACGUAGGGGGACCUGGAACUUCCGGUGGAGCGGUGAAAUGCGUUGAGAUCGGAAGGAACGCCCGUGGCGAAAGCGAGGUCCUGGACGUUUACUGACGCUGAGACGCGAAAGCCAGGGGAGCGAACG
RNAcentral lists this ribosomal RNA (410 nucleotides) under uncultured Singulisphaera sp. Its description in RNAcentral is "bacterial SSU rRNA". It matches the Rfam family "Bacterial small subunit ribosomal RNA", at positions 355 to 774 of the family's 1533-position model. Lineage: Bacteria; Pseudomonadati; Planctomycetota; Planctomycetia; Isosphaerales; Isosphaeraceae. The record is from RNAcentral.